AAACUAACAAGGAUUCCCUUAGUAACGGCGAGUGAACCGGGAAAAGCUCAAAUUUGUAAUCUGGCUGUCUUCGAUAGUCCGAGUUGUAAUCUAUAGACGUGUUUUCCGUGCUGGACCGUAUCUAAGUCCCUUGGAACAGGGUAUCAAAGAGGGUGACAAUCCCGUGCUUGAUACGACCACCAGUGCUCUGUGAUACACGUUCUACGAGUCGAGUUGUUUGGGAAUGCAGCUCAAAAUGGGUGGUAAAUUCCAUCUAAAGCUAAAUAUUGGCGAGAGACCGAUAGCGAACAAGUACCGUGAGGGAAAGAUGAAAAGCACUUUGGAAAGAGAGUUAAACAGUACGUGAAAUUGUUGAAAGGGAAACGAUUGAAGUCAGUCGUGUUCUUUGGAUUCAGCUAGUUCUUCUAGUCUACUUCCAUUGAACGGGUCAACAUCAGUUUUGUCCGGUGGAUAAAGGUAUUAGGAAUGUAGCUCCCUCGGGAGUGUUAUAGACUAGUAUUGCAUACACUGGGUGAGACUGAGGACUGCAGCUCGCCUUUUGGCCGGCCUUCGGGCACGUUCGAGCUUAGGAUGUUGACAUAAUGGCUUUAAACGAC
RNAcentral lists this ribosomal RNA (596 nucleotides) under Cutaneotrichosporon terricola. RNAcentral's name for it is "eukaryotic LSU rRNA". It matches the Rfam family "Eukaryotic large subunit ribosomal RNA", at positions 62 to 648 of the family's 3401-position model. Lineage: Eukaryota; Fungi; Basidiomycota; Tremellomycetes; Trichosporonales; Trichosporonaceae. The record is from RNAcentral.